AUAAAGUAGCAAUACUUUGGUGGCGAUCGGCGCACGGGUGAGUAACGCGUAUGCAACCCAUCUAUCAGAGGGGAAUAACCCGGCGAAAGUCGGACUAAUAUCGCAUAAAACAGGGACACCGCAUGGUGAUAUUUGUUAAAGAAAUUCGCUGAUAGAUGGGCAUGCGUUCCAUUAGGUAGUUGGUGAGGUAACGGCUCACCAAGCCGACGAUGGAUAGGGGAACUGAGAGGUUGGUCCCCCACACUGGUACUGAGACACGGACCAGACUCCUACGGGAGGCAGCAGUGAGGAAUAUUGGUCAAUGGGCGAGAGCCUGAACCAGCCAAGUCGCGUGAAGGAAGAAGGAUCUAUGGUUCGUAAACUUCUUUUGCAGGGGAAUAAAGUGCAGGACGUGUCCUGUUUUGUAUGUACCCUGAGAAUAAGGAUCGGCUAACUCCGUGCCAGCAGCCGCGGUAAUACGGAGGAUCCGAGCGUUAUCCGGAUUUAUUGGGUUUAAAGGGUGCGUAGGUGGUUUGAUAAGUCAGCGGUGAAAGUUUGCAGCUUAACUGUAAAAAUGCCGUUGAAACUGUCGGACUUGAGUGUAAAUGAGGUAGGCGGAAUGCGUGGUGUAGCGGUGAAAUGCUUAGAUAUCACGAAGAACUCCGAUUG
RNAcentral lists this ribosomal RNA (648 nucleotides) under uncultured Porphyromonadaceae bacterium. Its description in RNAcentral is "bacterial SSU rRNA". It matches the Rfam family "Bacterial small subunit ribosomal RNA", at positions 71 to 715 of the family's 1533-position model. Lineage: Bacteria; Pseudomonadati; Bacteroidota; Bacteroidia; Bacteroidales; Porphyromonadaceae. The record is from RNAcentral.